This is a long non-coding RNA of Catharus ustulatus (Swainson's thrush), 4113 nucleotides long. RefSeq lists it as uncharacterized. Lineage: Eukaryota; Metazoa; Chordata; Aves; Passeriformes; Turdidae. The transcript has 3 exons. The record is from RefSeq and is a predicted model, not a curated record.
AACAGAUACUUUUCUCUUUUUUCUUGCAUUUUUGUUAUUUUCUUCUCCUAAAUCUCAGAAUUUUUAUGUAGAUCUCCAUCUUCCUCUCUCUGAACCAAUGUCUGUCAUGCUCUCAAGGAAAUAACUCUCUCCCUGCACCCCGUUGUCACAUGCAAAGGCAUAAGUGCAAAAGAGAAAAAUAAAUAUUUUCAGAAGCCACAAGCAUUCUGGCCAAUAAUCUUUUAUACUGUCUUUGAAGGUUGGAAUGCAAAAUCCUGUAUUUGAGGUAAUAUCAUGAUUUGUCUACCUGCAAGACAUUAAUUCAAAGAACACAGUUAUCUAUCUUUUUGUUAUAAACUAGAUACUUACUGAAUAUGUACCCUGUAUGUUUAUUACAACACUUACUAGGUCUCUUGGCCAACACUUGACCUUCAGCAUCAUCUAUCUUGUAUUCAUACAGCAAAAGAGACCCACUAUCAAUAAAAUAUGCACUUUCCUUCCAGAAUGAAAUGCCUUCAACAGGUACUUCACUAUUCUAUGAAGAUGUUAACAGCAUCAAUUUCCAGAAGUCCCCUAAUACAUGGGGACCAUCAGAUCUGCAUUGUGGUAUCAUUUUGUUCCUCCCUCUCUGUGUCCCUUCCCCCAUGUGUGGUCUUAGGAAUUUACUCUGGACAUUCCAGAAAUGGACUGCAUUGCUGCAGGCAAAAAUCCAUCUCCUGAAAUAUGCAAAAUACACAUGCUCUUACAUGACCAUACACAGCACAUAUAUAAAUCAGUAAUGUUUUCCCCACUACUUCAACUGCUCCAUUAAAAAAAAAAAAAAAAAAAAAGUAAUUAAGGCCUGCUGUAUUUUCACAGAAGUAGAGAAAAAUAUUUUUUUCUAUUAAUAUGUUGAAUUACACAACCAGCUUUAAUGAAAAUUAAGUAUGGAAGAGAGGACUGUAAUGAUUUGGUACUGAACAGGAAAAAGAAAAAAAAAACCACCCUGAAGGAUUCUGGCUUCCUAAUGCACAAAUUGUUGUACGUCACCCUCCAGUCACUCUUAUUGAGCCACAAGGACACCGUCUCGUUGUGGGAGGGAAGGUAUGAAUUGUUACCUUUGUAUGAGGUGGUCCAGUGCUGCCUCUAUCAAGAUUAAGUAGGUCAAAUAUAAGAGCCCAAGCACACACUGUGUUUUGCAGUAGGAGUUUGGAGUUUAACAGACAAGCAACCAUCCAGGCAGCAGCAGGGAUCACAUUGUAUAUCAGACAAUAUUUUUCUGAGACACUCUGCUUCCAAAUAAGAGCAAAGUAUCUUUAACAUGUCUAGAGGGAAAAUGGUGCUUUCACUGUGUUUUUUUCAUAUGGUAAAGGUUCUGUAGGCACUCUUUACACAUCAUCACAAGAAUUCUACUGUCUGGGCAUUUUUACAGGCUUGUUGUAGUAUUCCAUACAUUGUUACUUCCUUUCUAAAAGGAGCCUAAAAUGUAAAAAUACAGCCCUAAAGAGUUAAAUCAAUUGAAGCUAUUCUAAACUUGCCACAUUAGUCUAGGGGAAGUUUCAGGGGGUUGUCAAUUUUAAUUAGAAAUGGCAAAUGAUUGUGCACAAUGCAGCAGAUUAUCAGGGCUACUUGUUAAAUUAUAAAAGGCUGGCUAAGCUUCAGAGUGAAGCUAGUGUCCAAAUUAGAAAAUCUGAUAGUUUAUAGUUUAUGCUCACAAAAAUAAUUGCUUUUUCCUCCUUCCUUUAGCAGAUUGUGUUCUUUGAGGGGGGAAAAAAAAAAAGAAAAAGCUUAUAGAUCUCCAGCUAAUUUCUGUGAAUUAAACCUGUGUUCACAAUAAUAAAACCAAGUAAAAUGCCAUGCCCUUUUAUAAGCCUUAUCUUUUUCUAGCAUUUCUAUUUUUUUAUAUUAAAUCCAUAAUAACCCUUUGCAUUUUUUCACUUCAGAAGACCAUUUAUUGUGAAUUCUGAAAACAUGUUGAACUAAAAAAGAAAAAUAAAAAAAAAAUGUCUGAGAAGAGGUGCUAUGCAUAGAUAGAAAGAGAAGGAGGAGUAGCACACCACAUACCUUUUCUAUUAGGACUGUCUGACACAAAAGACAGCUGCUGCUGCAGCACUGAGGCAGAAGCCAUGUCUUCCUCUACCAGUGUGGCCUGAGGAAAACUGACCUGGAACUGGACAUGCACAAAAUUGAAACUUGGGCUUCUGCGUCCUCCCCCAUCAUCCUUGGAUGAUGCGCAGUGUUGUUUAGACUUGACUUGUGGGACAAUUCUGAUGUCAUGCCCAAGGUAAUGUGCUGGUUUUCUUUCCUGUACACCUAACUCUGGAGAAAAUACGAAGUCUUCUUGAAAGUUAAUCUUCAAGCAUUAGCUUAUGUUCAAACACAGUUAAGAAAACACUGGGUAGGAAGCUUGAAAACUAAAUUUUGAAGCAAAGCAAAAUAGAUUUCAGGAAAAUCUAUCAGAAAUAUACAAUCUGAAGUUUGACUAGAAGUAGUUCCUAAGGUGUUGUAAGCAGAUCUAACUACCCUAAAUCUUGGAUUCAUUAACAAAUUUUUUGUUGCCUAUGAAACAAAGGUUUUCCAAGUUGCAUGAUUGCAUGUAACCUCAAGCUCAAUAGACAGUGCGCUAUUGAAAAAAAAAAAAAAAAAAGAAGUGGAAGAAGUUUAAAUCCUGCACUCUGAAGAGACAAGCAAACCAAUGACAGUGUGAUUCUGAAAAAAAAAAUCUCAAGGAUAAAGUGGGAAUAGAAGUGAAAAUCCAAUUUCUGUGUAUCAAGUCCAGCCUCUACUGAUUAUUUGAGUUGCAUUGGCACCUGAGAGAAAAAAUAAGACAACUUGAAAAUGUACCAACCAUACAUCUUCCCUCUCUACAGUGAUGUAGUCCUCUUCUAUCUGUCACAUGAUCAACAACCAGAUGCUUUGCUGAGGUCAAAUGAUUCCCAGUACACGUCAAAGGGGUCAGAGAAAGACAAUUAUCUUGUACUGACAAGAAACUAUACUGAAGAGGCCUUGCUCUGAAGGAAUAAAGAAUAUCUGCAUUGUGCACACAUUCUUGUGCUGAAUAUUUACAUUUGCCUACAAGAGUUUAGACUCCAGUAAAUAAGGAUUAUGCGGUGGAUCUGCCCUUACAAAGUUCUCUCCACUGAUUCAUUUGGAGACAAGUUUUGAAGGUAUAUCAGCAGUCUGCUGUCUGAGGAUUCUCUUUACCACAGCAAGAGAAGAAAUAAUGCUGCAGGAUCUUAAUCACUUCUCUUAAAUGCAUUGUGAGAGAAAUAGAACAAGAACAGAAAAUGUAUCCAGCUGUCUUCUCUCUGUUCUUUUUUUCCUAAUUUGUGCUUGUUAUCCAAAGAAAAAAAAUGUCUAAGCUUUGACUGUACUUUAAAAAUUCCCAAACAAGUAGUUCUAUAUAAAACAUAGUCUCAGUGACAGAAGAAUUCUGAUGCAGUUGCCAGAGAAAAGAAUUCCAUUAUUAAAAUUUUGGGCCUUUUUAAAACCUGUGAUACCGAUAAAAGACUUUGUUGAUAUUCAAUACAUUUUAUUUUGAGAAUUUACACAAAGACAUCAGUGAUUUUUCUCAAAAUUUCCAAUAAAAAAUAUAAGGCAAUCAUUUCCCUGUGGUCCAAUACCCUGAUGAAUCACACAAGAGAAAAAAGUGACUAGACAUAAAAAAUUAUGGAGCGUGAUAGCAGCAGACAAGUUGGGUUAGAAAAAAAGCAAAUAAGCUGAAGACAUGCUAAUUCAUAAUGAUAUGUGGAUGUAUUAAUGUAAGAAUGAACUACUAUACACAUAUGCACAUGGGGUCAAACUGAGAAAAGCAAAUCUUGCAACUGAGCAAGCGAUAAAGAUAGGUAUAGAUAAGGCACAGAUAGGAUAGAAAUAGAUGGGUUGAAUAAAGAAUGCAACUUUUAGCAAAAAAUAACACUGAAAUGUUUCCAUGAAAUUAUAUUUUUAUCCUUGCAUAGUUUUUCCCCCUCCAUGUCAAAUAAAAUAUAUAUGGAAAUGUAGUUAUGAUAUAUAGUUAAAAGAACAGCUACUAAAAAUAAGGAUGCUUUUAAGUAUACUGUUGGGAGGUGACUUGAUGAAUGUAUGUUUUCCAAGUAAAAAGGAUAAAUUAAUACCACAGAACCAACUUAACAGAUAUAUGUUUUUAACAUCAAA